This is a long non-coding RNA of Magnolia sinica, 717 nucleotides long. RefSeq lists it as uncharacterized. NCBI's taxonomy places the organism in Eukaryota, Viridiplantae, Streptophyta, Magnoliopsida, Magnoliales, Magnoliaceae. The transcript is spliced from 3 exons. The record is from RefSeq and is a predicted model, not a curated record.
CAACAUAAAAUAGUGAGGUGUCCAUGAAAGCCAUCACUAAAUACAGGGCAAGUGCUAAAGAUAAGAAUUACAAAGAAGAUGAGGGUACCUAUUAUGAAGUAGUAAAACAGAUAAUUGAGUUGGAUUACACUGUCUUUCGUCAAACGGUUUUUUAUUGUGAUUGGGUCAGAGUGGAAGACAAGACCAAUGGAUGUAUUGUUGAUCCCGAGUCAAAUUUGGUAAUGGUAAAUAUGAAGAAAUUGAAAGGACAUGAGAAAAAGGAGAUGAACCAUUCAUACUUGCAUCCCAAGCAAGUCAAGUAUUCUACUCCAAGGAUCAAAUAAGGCCUGGAUGGUAUGUUGUUUUAAUGUCACCAAAAAUAUUGACGAAAGACGUGGACACACUUGAAGAUCCGACUUUGUUUUCCUCUUCUGGGGGCGAGAAUACAUAUUUAAAAAAUAUUAUAAAGGAAAUUGGCUACGAGUUAUAGGUGAGCUGGGACAUGUCAAUAGUCGAGGAGAACGUGUCAACUUCAUAAGCACAUGCAUCAAAAAAUGCAGGAACUUCAUCGUCGUAAAAAAAUAAGCCUGUAAUUAGCUUAAAUGCAUUUAGACUACCUGUGGGCGAACACUCACAUAGGUUGACUACAAGAAGUGGAGAGUUGGUUCACACCCAUGUCUCUAUUGCCAUCAAGGAUUGACUUACAAUGCCAAUGAGUAAGAAAGAAGAACUUUGGAA